This 573-nucleotide ribosomal RNA is filed under the name Peptostreptococcus stomatis. Its description in RNAcentral is "bacterial SSU rRNA". It matches the Rfam family "Bacterial small subunit ribosomal RNA", at positions 379 to 970 of the family's 1533-position model. Lineage: Bacteria; Bacillati; Bacillota; Clostridia; Peptostreptococcales; Peptostreptococcaceae. The record is from RNAcentral.
AAGCCUGAUGCAGCAACGCCGCGUGAACGAUGAAGGUGCUUCGGAUGCGUAAAGUUCUGUUGCAGGGGAAGAUAAUGACGGUACCCUGUGAGGAAGCCCCGGCUAACUACGUGCCAGCAGCCGCGGUAAUACGUAGGGGGCUAGCGUUAUCCGGAUUUACUGGGCGUAAAGGGUGCGUAGGUGGUCCUUCAAGUCGGUGGUUAAAGGCUACGGCUCAACCGUAGUAAGCCGCCGAAACUGGAGGACUUGAGUGCAGGAGAGGAAAGUGGAAUUCCCAGUGUAGCGGUGAAAUGCGUAGAUAUUGGGAGGAACACCAGUAGCGAAGGCGGCUUUCUGGACUGCAACUGACACUGAGGCACGAAAGCGUGGGUAGCAAACAGGAUUAGAUACCCUGGUAGUCCACGCUGUAAACGAUGAGUACUAGGUGUCGGGGGUUACCCCCCUCGGUGCCGCAGCUAACGCAUUAAGUACUCCGCCUGGGGAGUACGCACGCAAGUGUGAAACUCAAAGGAAUUGACGGGGACCCGCACAAGUAGCGGAGCAUGUGGUUGAAUUCGAAGCACGCGAAGAACC